CACGUACUAUCAGAGUUUGAUCCUGGCUCAGGACGAACGCUGGCGGCGUGCCUAACACAUGCAAGUCGAACGGAGUUACGGGAGCUUGCUCCUGUAACUUAGUGGCGAACGGGUGAGUAACGCGUGAGAAACCUGCCUUUCAGUGGGGGACAACAGUUGGAAACGACUGCUAAUACCGCAUAAUGUGCCGGGAGGGCAUCCUCCUGGUACCAAAGCUUAAUGUGCUGAAAGAUGGUCUCGCGUCUGAUUAGCUAGGUGGCGGGGUAACGGCCCACCAUGGCGACGAUCAGUAGCCGGUCUGAGAGGAUGAACGGCCACAUUGGGACUGAGAUACGGCCCAG
RNAcentral lists this ribosomal RNA (341 nucleotides) under uncultured bacterium. RNAcentral describes it as "bacterial SSU rRNA". It matches the Rfam family "Bacterial small subunit ribosomal RNA", at positions 1 to 334 of the family's 1533-position model. The record is from RNAcentral.